GACGAACGCUGGCGGCGUGCUUAACACAUGCAAGUCGAACGGAAAGGCCCUGCUUUUGUGGGGUGCUCGAGUGGCGAACGGGUGAGUAACACGUGAGUAACCUGCCCUUGACUUUGGGAUAACUUCAGGAAACUGGGGCUAAUACCGGAUAGGAGCUCCUGCUGCAUGGUGGGGGUUGGAAAGUUUCGGCGGUUGGGGAUGGACUCGCGGCUUAUCAGCUUGUUGGUGGGGUAGUGGCUUACCAAGGCUUUGACGGGUAGCCGGCCUGAGAGGGUGACCGGCCACAUUGGGACUGAGAUGCGGCCCAGACUCCUACGGGAGGCAGCAGUGGGGAAUAUUGCAGAAUGGACGGAAGCCUGAUGCAGCAACGCCGCGUGCGGGAUGACGGCCUUCGGGUUGUAAACCGCUUUCGCCUGUGACGAAGCGUGGGUGACGGUAAUGGGUAAAGAAGCACCGGCUAACUACGUG
Molecule: ribosomal RNA, 468 nt
Filed under: uncultured bacterium
Lineage: Bacteria
Description: partial 16S ribosomal RNA
Rfam family: Bacterial small subunit ribosomal RNA
Source: RNAcentral